Molecule: ribosomal RNA, 350 nt
Filed under: Peripatus solorzanoi
Lineage: Eukaryota; Metazoa; Onychophora; Udeonychophora; Euonychophora; Peripatidae
Description: partial 12S ribosomal RNA
Source: RNAcentral
UGAUACCCUAUUAUACUAUAACAUAAACAAUAAUUCAAAGAACUCAAACAAAAUAAAUUUGACGGUAUUAACUUUUACAAAGGAAUUUGUUUCUUAAUCGACAACCCACGAAUUAUCUUACUUAAUAAUUAUCUGUAUACCACCGUUCUUGGAAUUAUUAAAGAUUAAUCCCAUAAUAGAAGAAUUUAACCUAAAAAAUCAGGUCAAGGUGCAAUUUUAUUAAGCUGAAAUGAAUUACAUUAUUUAUAUUUACUUAUAAUAAGUGAAAUCUUAUUAAAAAUAGAAUUUGUCAGUAAAAUCUUAUCACAAUGAUUUUUUGAAAACAAUCAUUAAUAUGUACACAUCGCCCG